CCUCUCGUGGCGUAGGGGUAACGUGCUCUAUCUAGGGAACAAAUAGUCGUAAGUUCGAUUCUCACCGAGAAGA
This 73-nucleotide transfer RNA is filed under the name Aedes aegypti (yellow fever mosquito). It matches the Rfam family "tRNA". Rfam says of the family: Transfer RNA (tRNA) molecules are approximately 80 nucleotides in length. Their secondary structure includes four short double-helical elements and three loops (D, anti-codon, and T loops). Lineage: Eukaryota; Metazoa; Arthropoda; Insecta; Diptera; Culicidae. The record is from Rfam by way of RNAcentral.